GAUCUGCUAUGCUGGAGUUUUGUGAGUGAGCCCAGGAUACAGAAGGAAUGGUAAACAACACACCAAAAAGGGCAACUAUAAUCAAGUGACAGGGCAGCUGACUCAUGACGAGAGACUACAGAGAAUGACUCUUCAGAGAAAAUGUUUGGUCAAGAUUCACAUUUAUCAUGAACUCCAGUCUAAAAGGAUAGCUGAAAGCAGGGUGAUGUGAGCUGAGGACAAAGGACAGGCAGAACACCCAUGUGCCAAAGAAGGGAUCCAAGGUCACAUGCUUAAAAGCUGCUGACCAAAGUUCCUUUGCAGUCAGAAAAGGACUUGAAAUUAA
Molecule: long non-coding RNA, 325 nt
Organism: Tympanuchus pallidicinctus (lesser prairie-chicken)
Lineage: Eukaryota; Metazoa; Chordata; Aves; Galliformes; Phasianidae
Exons: 3
Source: RefSeq, a predicted model, not a curated record